UUCCUUAUGCCACCCAAUCUUAAACCAAACGUUGCACCCUCGAUAAUCUGUAUGUUAUUCCCUGAUCACCAGAAACUUCUAUGUUUAAACUCUGUACCGUUCACUUUUUUUAACAUCAUCUUAAUACAAAUCUUUAAAUGUCUU
Molecule: non-coding RNA, 144 nt
Organism: Chelonoidis abingdonii (Abingdon island giant tortoise)
Lineage: Eukaryota; Metazoa; Chordata; Testudines; Testudinidae
Source: RefSeq, a predicted model, not a curated record